Molecule: ribosomal RNA, 484 nt
Filed under: uncultured bacterium
Lineage: Bacteria
Description: partial 16S ribosomal RNA
Rfam family: Bacterial small subunit ribosomal RNA
Source: RNAcentral
AUUGAACGCUGGCGGCAGGCCUAACACAUGCCAGUCGAGCGGAUGAAGGGAGCUUGCUCCUGGAUUCAGCGGCGGACGGGCGAGUAAUGCCUAGGAAUCUGCCUGGUCGUGGGGGAUAACGUCCGGAAACGGGCGCUAAUACCGCAUACGUCCUGAGGGAGAAAGUGGGGGAUCUUCGGACCUCACGCUAUCAGAUGAGCCUAGGUCGGAUUAGCUAGUUGGUGGGGUAAAGGCCUACCAAGGCGACGAUCCGUAACUGGUCUGAGAGGAUGAUCAGUCACACUGGAACUGAGACACGGUCCAGACUCCUACGGGAGGCAGCAGUGGGGAAUAUUGGACAAUGGGCGAAAGCCUGAUCCAGCCAUGCCGCGUGUGUGAAGAAGGUCUUCGGAUUGUAAAGCACUUUAAGUUGGGAGGAAGGGCAGUAAGUUAAUACCUUGCUGUUUUGACGUUACCAACAGAAUAAGCACCGGCUAACUUCGUG